Ruditapes philippinarum (Manila clam) is the source of this 3525-nucleotide RNA transcript. RefSeq lists it as uncharacterized. The transcript has 8 exons. The record is from RefSeq and is a predicted model, not a curated record. Lineage: Eukaryota; Metazoa; Mollusca; Bivalvia; Venerida; Veneridae.
AUUUUUUUAGACGAAAGCAAAGAUAUUACAAGAAAUGGAAAGACUAAGGAAAACCCAUAUGGAUUUGUUUUUUGUACCAGUUGGUAAUUCAGAUGUGGAUUUUCACAAGACAAUGGCGGCAAUUUCAGACGGUACGGUGCUCGACUGCAGACAAGGUAGAAGGCUGGCGAGGAGACAAUAUUUAACUACACGCUUGCUAGAUCCAAUAGGCCUUAUUGCUGGCACGCAAACACGUGGUUCUGAUUAUGACCUUUCCAGCGAAGAUAAGGAAGAUCUGAUGAAUAUACAGAAAAGUGCCAAACGACAUUUUGAUGAAAAUGUAAGAAUAUCCAACAGCCCCAACAGAGAUGCUUAUCAUGAAUCCAAAAGCAAGACAUUGCCUCCGAUUGGCAGCCGAGUACGGAGAGGUCCGGACUGGCAUUAUAGACAGCAAGAUAGCAAUGGCACUGGAACGGUCAUAGGGCAUGCUGGUAACGAUCAACAGCUUUGGAUAGAAUGGGAUGCAGAUGAAAAUCAAAAUGUUUAUAUGUAUGGGGCUCUAGGAUAUGACGUGCUUAUUGUGGAUGAACCCAGAAAACUUAAACCAGGGGAGAAAAUAGCAGUUGGUUGUAAAGUAGUACCUGGAAAGGACUGGCAAAACACUGAUGGCAACGUAAAUCUGGGCGUGGUUAUUAAAGUAAAGAGAAAUAAAAAGAAGGCAAAGGUACGAUGGAAUAAUGGUAAACGUGGCAGUUAUAUGUAUGAUGAUAUACAACAGGUUCAAGUGAAGACAGAGGCCGAUUCAAGGAAAGUUUGGUUCUUUUAUUUGUUUGUUGAUUGGGUUGUAAGUCGUACCGACACGGUAAAGUGACUUGUAUGAAACGUUUUAGAUUAUUAGCUCACUGUUUUACAGAAUGAUUAUUUUACUUUACGUUUAUAUAAACUCAAUAUGGGCUAUGAGUCGCACAAAAAGAAGAAUUACUAUUUAAUUCUGAGUAAAUUGACUUCUGCAUGCCUUUCCGUUUUUUGGUGCCCAGUCGAUCUAUGUAAGAAAUUCAAAUUUUAUGCUUUUGGCUUUUGGAGCUCGGUGUUCUUUUAAUCUAAAAUGUACAUUGUUUAAUAAUUGAAAGAAAAAUAAGUUACAAAUGUAAAUGUAUAAUAGGUAAAGAUGCGUAUAUGAUAUUACAAUAAUAAUCAACUUAUUUAUUUUCUUAUUUUACAGAGGUACCAGCAACCGCUUUAAUGAGAGAUCUCCAAAGCAAGAAUUCGAGUUUGAAUUUGAAACUCCGCCUGCCAUGACGAUAGAAGAGUUUGCGUCUAAACAAGAAAAUAAAAAGAAUAAAAACUCGAACUAGAUAUAGAUAAAAGGACAUUCUACAUUUGAUGUGUGUCGCCGAUCCGACUGCUACAAAAUGUGAACUAGGCAGAUUUUUAGAAGAUGGAAAAUCAAAAUCAGAUUUGUCUGAUAUUCUAUCCGGUCGCUUGCAACAAAGAACCAAAAUAACAUCAGUUUCAUAGUACAUGAUCCAAAGUUAUAUAAAAAAGUAACUACAGAAGUACAUGGUCGCAUUAUCGGAUAAAAAACUGUUUUGUAAUACUGAACGUUUGUAACGUCGAUUUUCAUUGGUUAAUUUUGAUGUUUAUAUAAUCUAUAUACACGACUUCUUCUUCUUCUUCUUCCAAUACUGUACAUAACCCACUCUGGGGCAUUGACAUACAGGGUGUAUGUACAAAGUGUUGUGCGGCGAAUAAGUGCAAGUUUACAAGAAGAACAGGUUAAAAAUAAAAUCGACUCCGGCAUAUUAGGGCCCCAUGACUAGUCCUCCCUUGAAGGCCUCAAGGUUGAUUGCUGUGGCUAGGUGCUCUAGAAGCUGGUUCCACAUGCGGAUGGCCGAAGGUACAAAGGAGAACUUCAUGGUGUCUGUUCUGCAGAAUGGGACAAGGAAUCUGUGUCCGUAGUCAUGGCCACCAAGUGUCAGGGGGGUGAAAGUACUGUGCAGCUGGGAUGGUUAUGAGGUUGUGCGUGAUCCUGUAGACCAUCACUAGCUUGGCAUUGUCCUGGAGCGGCGAUGCUGUAGAGUUGGCCAGCCUAGGUCUGUCAUCAUUGCAGUGGUGCUGCUGGUAGUUUUGUAAUCGCCUUUUACAAAUCGGGCAGCUUGCCUUUGGACAGCUUCCAGCUGGUUGAUGUUGGUGGCUGUGUGUGGGUCCCAGACUGUGCCUGCAUACUCCAGGAUUGGUCUAACAAGGGUCUUGUAGUCCUGGGCCUUGAUGUCUUGUGGGCAGCUUGUGAUGUUUCUUCUAAGGAAUGAUAGAGAGUUGUUGGCAUUCUUGAUGGUAGAUUCUGUGUGUAUGUUCCAUUAAAAAUUAUUUGCGAUGCUGACACCAAGGUACUUUCCACUUUUGACAGAUUAAAGAGUUGAUUGGUGGACCUUGUAGGCAUAAAUGAUGGGACUUCUUUUUUGGGGGAUUAUUUAGUGUAUUACUUCGUAUUUGAUGGGAUUGAAAGACAUCAUCCACUUGCGUUCCCAUUUCUGGAGUCUAUCUAGGUCUUCUUGGAGGGCUAAUGCGUUAGCUUCUGAUUUGAUUUUCCUGUAGAUCAGGCUGUCGUCAGCAAAUAGGCAGCUGAUGGAAGUCACGCACCUUGGUAGGUCGUUGAUGUAAAAGAGGAACAGUAAAGGACCUAGUACUCUCCCCUGGGGUACACCGGAACUAAUUGGGGAUGAUGCGGAUGAAUGGCCUUCAACGACAACUUGUUGGCUGCGGCCUGGUCCGGACUGUUGUAAAUUAAUAAAGAAAUGUUUUUUCUAGUAGAAGAAGUUUUUUAGUAUUAUAAAUUCAUUAUAAAGAUUCUUAACAGGGUAUAUGACUCCGAGUAUAUACAGAAAGAACAAAAAUUGCUUAAAUGGAUGACGCCCAUGCGAAGCGGACUUUUGGCGACCAUGACUUUUGGCGACGUUAUUGCAUUAUCGCAAUGUGCGUAAUAUUGACCCCUAGCCUUUUCACUCGUCAAUCCACAACGAAAUGGGACUAAUAGCAGGCUAGUAUUUUGCUUUACAAAAUUCGUAGUAUUUAUCAACUAGCUGAUGAAAAAAAAUGACGCGUGAGCUAAAUCUAUGCAAAGCGACAAUCUUGCAGCCAUAUUUCUCGCGCCAACACAAAAAAUAUAGUGAAGGCAAUCAGUUAUACACGGACCAAUUUGCAGCAAAAUCGGACAAAUGGGUAGCUUAAGGAAACAGCGGGUACAUUCAGAGUAAAUCCAUUGGUAGGUUUUUUAACCAUUGCAUACCAAUGGUACUUAUGUUUAACGGACAAAAUUGGCAGAUUAUUAGGCAGGAAGACUAGUUCUUUAGAAGUGACGUCACUUUUUUGACGUCAUUGAAAAUAGCGAUUCUGGUCUUAUUUUCAUUGUUGUAUGAAAACUUUAAUGAUCAUAUUAGACUGUAAUAGAAUUGCACAUUUUCAAAGUGUUCAGGUUUUCAAAUAAACAAAAAUUUGAUUCUAGAUAACUUUUACUAAUAUAAAUACGAGUACAAGUUACAAUUUAAG